Molecule: ribosomal RNA, 145 nt
Filed under: Fucus distichus f. latifrons
Lineage: Eukaryota; Phaeophyceae; Fucales; Fucaceae
Description: partial 18S ribosomal RNA
Rfam family: Eukaryotic small subunit ribosomal RNA
Source: RNAcentral
CGAUUGAAUGUUUCGGUGAAGAUCCCGGACCGGAACUUGAGCGCUUCGCGGCGCACUAGCGAAGGGAAGUUAUCUAAACCUCAACAUUUAGAGGAAGGUGAAGUCGUAACAAGGUUUCCGUAGGUGAACUGCGGAAGGAUCAUUA